Long non-coding RNA from Panicum virgatum (switchgrass), 898 nucleotides. RefSeq lists it as uncharacterized. NCBI's taxonomy places the organism in Eukaryota, Viridiplantae, Streptophyta, Magnoliopsida, Poales, Poaceae. The record is from RefSeq and is a predicted model, not a curated record. The transcript has 2 exons.
GCACGCACGUCGAGGACGGCCGCUCGACGCGCCACGGCGACGAUGCGUCGAGCCGUGCCGUGCGCCACUUCUCCAUCUCCCCUGCGCUCUCGGCCCUCUUCUCUCCCUUGAGCUCGCGCAGCACGCGUUCCCGCCCUCCCUCUCCACCCUCCCUCUCUGGCUCAAGCAAACCGAGCCGAGUUCGCCCAGAAGCACGACCAUGGCCGCCGCUAUUGCUGCCGCGGAGCUCGGGCUCACCGCGGAGACCCCACCUCCGGCCAUCCACGCCCCGAGCUGACCCCGGGAACGAAACCCUCUUAUUCCCGUGAAGCUUCCGAGCCCAUCCAUCACCGCCCCCUCGCGCCGGAACGCUGCCGUCGGUGAGCAGGGCCGCCGCCACCCAUAGGCCACCAUCGAGCUCCCACCUCCGCUUUUCCUUGGCUCCAACCGACCGCGGGAACGGCUUCACCUCACCCCAACGAAGCUCCCCGGCCCGCUUGCCUCCGUCCAGGCCUACCGGAGCGCCGCCGCCGCGGUCCAGACCCGCCGCCGCCUCUGCUUCUCCGCGGGCACGCCGACGCAGGCCGCCCCAACCCCAAUCCCGGGUACCCAGAGGUACGAUAGAAGAACCGCGUGAAUGACGUGAUAUCGGAGACGAGCCGGAAGACGAUGAAUGGUGGACACGUCUAGAAGAUGGACGGAUGGAUCCCGAUGUGCACGACCGAAGGAAGAUGUUCGCCGAGCGAGUUUUCUCUAACUAACACUGACCUAGUGUUAUUUCCAGGCAAGCCCCGGAGCAUGUCCUACUAUUUUAAAUUUAUGCAACUUAUUAUUGUUCCUAUCUAUUUGUGCAUUUAAGUUUACAAGAGUUGACUGGAAUCUUAGUUGCAUAAUCCUAGGUACCGAUGUUUGAACACUA